RNAcentral lists this unclassified non-coding RNA (167 nucleotides) under uncultured Emericellopsis. RNAcentral describes it as "sequence contains ITS1". Lineage: Eukaryota; Fungi; Ascomycota; Sordariomycetes; Hypocreales. The record is from RNAcentral.
CUGAGUUAUCCAACUCCCAAACCCCUGUGAACAUACCUAUGUUGCUUCGGCGGACCGUCCCGCGGCGCGCCCUCGUGGCGUGACCCGGAUCCAGGCGCCCGCCGGAGAACCAAACUCUUGUUUUCUAUUCUAGUGUCUCCUCUGAGUGGCAUAAGCAAAAAUAAACA